Molecule: unclassified non-coding RNA, 271 nt
Filed under: Hevea brasiliensis (rubber tree)
Lineage: Eukaryota; Viridiplantae; Streptophyta; Magnoliopsida; Malpighiales; Euphorbiaceae
Source: RNAcentral
GGUGUUACUGCAGCCAUUGAUUUGGUAGCAUAGAGCUUACAAAUGGGUCUCGUUUGUUUCGAAGUUUUUGGAAUCUUGAAAAGUUUUAGAUGGGUUUGAAGGGAAAGAUGGAACGACCCAAUUGAAAGCAUCUGUUCGAAUUGGAGUUUUCGAUUCAGGUGAGUUGUUUUGGAGAGGUUUCGAUUGAAUUGUGAAUGACAGAAAGUCAGUAACGUUAGGAACUGCCAUUGAUGCUGUCCAUAUUAUUGGAUCGAAGGCCGUUAGGUUGGCC